AGGGACCAGAGGGCCACAUGGGGAAACCCUUCAGUGGGGUUGGAUCACCUGGAAAUUCCCUGAGACUGGAGUAACUCUCUGAAUCAAGGCUGUCCAAGGGUGGAGGCCAAAUAAUCGGCUCAAAGUUCGUUAGCCCCUACAAGGACCAAGUUCCAGGCCUUCCCAAGCCUGUGGUGAGCAAAGAGCGACCUCUCCUGCCCCAGUCUUCAACCCUCGUCCCAUCCUAUCUGCCCCAGCUUCUCUCCU
RNAcentral lists this long non-coding RNA (246 nucleotides) under Homo sapiens (human). RNAcentral's name for it is "HSALNT0006261". The record is from RNAcentral. Lineage: Eukaryota; Metazoa; Chordata; Mammalia; Primates; Hominidae.